CUGUGCUAGCUGGGGAGGUAGCGGUGCCCUGUACUUGCAACCCGCUGUAGCAAGAGUGAUGCUUCGGCUGCGGCAGUAUCUUGUGAGGUCUGCCUCUAGCAAGUAGUGUUGAUAGUUGGGUCUUACGCAAUAUUCACUUAUGAACCGUGUCAGGUCUUGACGGAAGCAGCACUAAGUAAGACCGAAUAUGUGCCGUAAGGGUGCCUAAUUUGAGCUAACUACUAGAGUAACGCUUGUAAGGUAUUGUCAAAGCGAAGUGCACAG
RNAcentral lists this signal recognition particle RNA (264 nucleotides) under Candidatus Parepulonipiscium sp. PG-Nun2H_MBin03. Its description in RNAcentral is "Epulopiscium sp. Nuni2H_MBin003 Bacterial large signal recognition particle RNA". It matches the Rfam family "Bacterial large signal recognition particle RNA". From Rfam's summary of the family: The signal recognition particle (SRP) is a universally conserved ribonucleoprotein involved in the co-translational targeting of proteins to membranes. Archaeal SRP consists of a 7S RNA and homologues of the eukaryotic SRP19 and SRP54 proteins. The record is from Rfam by way of RNAcentral. Lineage: Bacteria; Bacillati; Bacillota; Clostridia; Lachnospirales; Lachnospiraceae.